RNAcentral lists this ribosomal RNA (449 nucleotides) under uncultured bacterium. RNAcentral's name for it is "partial 16S ribosomal RNA". It matches the Rfam family "Bacterial small subunit ribosomal RNA", at positions 338 to 795 of the family's 1533-position model. The record is from RNAcentral.
CCUACGGGGGGCUGCAGUAAGGAAUAUUGGUCAAUGGACGAAAGUCUGAACCAGCCAUCCCGCGUGCAGGAUGAAAGCCCUAUGGGUUGUAAACUGCUUUUAGCAGAGAAGAAAAGCUUUCAUUAAUGAGAGUCUGACGGUAUCUGCAGAAUAAGCACCGGCUAACUCCGUGCCAGCAGCCGCGGUAAUACGGAGGGUGCGAGCGUUAUCCGGAAAAACUGGGUGUAAAGGGUGUGUUGGGGGAGUAGUAAACUCUUGUCUCUUAACGAUAACAUUGCCAAUGAUACUGGUACUCUUGAAUUGGGUUGAGGUUAGCGGAAUGUGACAUGUAGCGGUGAAAUGCAUAGAUAUGUCAUGGAACACCAAUUGCGAAGGCAGCUAACUGGGCCUUGAUUGCCGCUGAGGCACGAAAGCGUGGGUAGCGAACAGGAUUAGAUACCCCUGUAGUC